RNAcentral lists this ribosomal RNA (911 nucleotides) under Alteromonas sp. RNAcentral describes it as "bacterial SSU rRNA". It matches the Rfam family "Bacterial small subunit ribosomal RNA", at positions 56 to 965 of the family's 1533-position model. Lineage: Bacteria; Pseudomonadati; Pseudomonadota; Gammaproteobacteria; Alteromonadales; Alteromonadaceae. The record is from RNAcentral.
UGCAAGUCGAACGGUAACAUUUCUAGCUUGCUAGAAGAUGACGAGUGGCGGACGGGUGAGUAAUGCUUGGGAACUUGCCUUUAGGAGGGGGAUAACAGUUGGAAACGACUGCUAAUACCGCAUAAUGUCUACGGACCAAAGGGGGCUUCGGCUCUCACCUGAAGAGAGGCCCAAGUGAGAUUAGCUAGUUGGUAAGGUAAAAGCUUACCAAGGCGACGAUCUCUAGCUGUUCUGAGAGGAAGAUCAGCCACACUGGGACUGAGACACGGCCCAGACUCCUACGGGAGGCAGCAGUGGGGAAUAUUGCACAAUGGGGGAAACCCUGAUGCAGCCAUGCCGCGUGUGUGAAGAAGGCCUUCGGGUUGUAAAGCACUUUCAGUUGUGAGGAAAGGUUGGUAGUUAAUACCUGCCAGCUGUGACGUUAACAACAGAAGAAGCACCGGCUAACUCCGUGCCAGCAGCCGCGGUAAUACGGAGGGUGCGAGCGUUAAUCGGAAUUACUGGGCGUAAAGCGCACGCAGGCGGUUUGUUAAGCUAGAUGUGAAAGCCCCGGGCUCAACCUGGGAUGGUCAUUUAGAACUGGCAGACUAGAGUCUUGGAGAGGGGAGUGGAAUUCCAGGUGUAGCGGUGAAAUGCGUAGAUAUCUGGAGGAACAUCAGUGGCGAAGGCGGCUCCCUGGCCAAAGACUGACGCUCAUGUGCGAAAGUGUGGGUAGCGAACAGGAUUAGAUACCCUGGUAGUCCACACCGUAACGCUGUCUACUAGCUGUUUGUGAAUUUAAUUCGUGAGUAGCGAAGCUAACGCGAUAAGUAGACCGCCUGGGGAGUACGGCCGCAAGGUUAAAACUCAAAUGAAUUGACGGGGGCCCGCACAAGCGGUGGAGCAUGUGGUUUAAUUCGAUGCAACGCGAA